Oryzias melastigma (Indian medaka) is the source of this 733-nucleotide long non-coding RNA. RefSeq lists it as uncharacterized. The record is from RefSeq and is a predicted model, not a curated record. Lineage: Eukaryota; Metazoa; Chordata; Actinopteri; Beloniformes; Adrianichthyidae. The transcript is spliced from 3 exons.
UAACCCAGCUGAAAUUCUGCGCUGUCUCUUUAAAUCUGCCGGUUCCCCUUGCACUGCGUAACUGCAGUGACGUGUCACUUUCACUUUGAAAGGCGUGUCAAAACGCCAAUGAGAGAUGCAUUCGUGGGGAAGCUCGGCUGUGUACCGCUGUAGCAGAUUGGCGUUCAUCACCGGAAGCCGGGAAAAUUAAAUCAGCGCGAUUAGUGAAGCGUGAACUGGCCAGGUCGCUUGACUGGUUGUGUCUGAAGAUUUUGGAGUGCUCACCCAGAGCAUUGGAUGCAGUAUCGACUGGGGAGUCUACCACUCCCAGAAAACAGUGAGGAUAAAACCUCUGUGGAUGGCGAGCUAAAAGGAGCCCGAUAUUAGACCGGAAUCUACCAUCCUACCACCAGUGCGGUAGGACUAACCCCCCACACUCUACAACAACUCAUCCGGAGUGCAUUUUUCUUUCUUUUUUUUAUCUCCGCCAACUGGAGUACCCAGACUCUUUCUCAUCACAACUCUCUCUACGAACUAAUAGAAAAAAAAACAUCAUCAGGACUGAAGUGUUUUGUUCAUGUGUGUUGUAAAUUUUGAAUUCACUGUAUAUUGUAAAUACAUUCGCAUCAGCAACUCACCUUUAGCCUUGUCUGUUGUUUUUAAGCAUUCACUGUCCUCCCUGAGUCGAACCUUUCUAGCCCAAACCAACAACUUCUGAAUAAUAUUAAUUCAUGCAUGCUACACGUACACCUCA